This 253-nucleotide ribosomal RNA is filed under the name uncultured bacterium. Its description in RNAcentral is "partial 16S ribosomal RNA". It matches the Rfam family "Bacterial small subunit ribosomal RNA", at positions 524 to 776 of the family's 1533-position model. The record is from RNAcentral.
GACAGAGGGUGCAAACGUUGCUCGGAAUUACUGGGCGUAAAGCGCGUGUAGGCGGACUGGUGUGUCGGAUGUGAAAUCCCCAGGCUCAACCGUGGAACUGCAUUCGAAACUGCCAGCCUUGAGUGGUGGAGAGGGAAGUGGAAUUCCUGGUGUAGAGGUGAAAUUCGUAGAUAUCAGGAGGAACACCAGUGGCGAAGGCGGCUCACUGGCUCGUAACUGACGCUCAUGCACGACAGCGUGGGGAUCAAACAGG